GCGGGCUGGGCGCCGUCGACACCACCAGCGCGCCUCAAGGCUCCGCCCACUUCGUGCUCCCGCACUCGCCGCGCAGUAUUCCAGGUGAAAGGAAGCUCAGGGUCAGUCUUCUUCACACCCACCCCUCAAAAGGAGUGCUGAUUUGGAUUGAGAUGAUUCCAGGGCAGUAGGCUGAAACACAGUCACAGGUGGUGGCAUUUUCAGAGGAGUCUUUAAAGAGAACCAUCCUCUAGAAGAGGCAGACUGGGCUCUCUAUGCAAAGGAAACAGAAAGGCUGGAUAUGCAGUUGUGGCUCUUAAAGGGAUAGUAGAGACCAAGACCUUAGUGCUGGGAAUCUCUGCUCAUAAAUCUGAACUGAUGGCUUUGACGAGGGCACUGGGAUUGUCGCACGGAGAGAGAGUGAAUGUGUAUACUGACUUGAGGUUUUCUGCAUUCCUUUGAGCCUGGAGAUAAGGUGCUACUUGAGACUUGGAAGACAGGAUGGAAGACUAGAAGAAAAGUGGACUGGGCCUUGGGACAUACUCCUCACCACCCCCACCAUGGUGAAACUGGUAGAAAUAAAACUUUGGAUUCAUCACACCACAGUAAAGAGAGCUCUAGAACAAUGGACCACUAAAUCACAAGAACACCUGAAAGCCACCAUUAGAAAACAAUGACGUAUACUUUUUUCAUUACUUUUUGUUCAACCCCCAUGUUAUGGAGAACUUAUUCCUUUCAAACAAGAUGAAAAUAUUUGGGUAUAUUUUGCAAAAAAAGUUCUGAAUAUCUCUGACUUUUGUCUUGCAGGAGGAAGCUCCUGGCUGCCUAGUAUUAUUACUGGUCUUAAACAUUUGUUCUUUUCAUUCUUUUUAUCUUUUUGAAUAUCAUAGCUUGUUGUUAUACACGAUGUGUCCCCUUAUGUGGAUCUGCAAUUAAGUGUAUUCCCAAAGCCCCUAUGAGACUUUCUACUGCUAAGAUAUAUGCUCAACAGCGAAAUGAGUAUUCCAUAUGGAACUAAUCUCAAAGAAAUAAGAUAGUUUAGACUAACAGUGAGGAAUGAUGGGGGAACUCAAGAGUUCAAAAUUUUUAGCUGUAGUUAUAUAGUUAAUAGGCUUGGUGGUCAAUGCAUGUAGGAAGCUAUUGUUCCAGGAAGUGGAAUGUAAUGACCAGACCCACCCUGACUCCAGGAAACCAUAAGCAGUUCAACCUUUGUGCCCCGGGAGGACUGCAAGCAAUCAAGAUGGAAUCUGAGCUAUUGUGUUUCAGGGAGGGAAUGUCUCCUGACCAGGACAGAGAUGAAGAAUCACAGGUUAGCAGAUGAAAAUGGCAGUACUGCAACUUUUAUCUGAUUAACCUUUACCUCUGAAUUCCAAACACCUUACCCGCUUUUUUCCUGAAUUCCAAACCCAUACCUAUUCUGUUCUUCUCCUUACAAAAAAGGUCAGCUUGAGAUGAGAUGUAAGAUGGUCUUAAGGGUACAUAACCCACCAUCUUCUCAGAUCACUUCACUGGCAAUCUGAAUAGAGUGCCUGUAAAGAGCCAAUCAUUUUCUCUACUUACUGAUUCUGGUAGUGACAGGCAGCACAAACAUCAACUUUUCUGGUUUCAAUGUGACCUUAAACAAAGGAGGUACUAAAUUUAAGUUUCAAUUUCUUCAUCUAGCGAAAUGGGACCAAUGAUAUGAUCUUCAUAUAUUUGGUGUGAAGGUUAAAUGGCUAUAGGGGUGUCCAACCUUUUGACAUCUCUGUGCCACACUGGAAGAAGAGUUGUCUUGGGCCACACAUUAAAUACAGUGCAACAUGAAAUCACAACAAGGUCUAAUAAUGUUUUAAGUAGAUUUAUGACUUUUUGUUGGGCCACAUUCAUAGCCAUUCUGAGUCCCAGGUUGGACACUCCUGGCUUAAAGUAUGCAAAGUAUUUAACAUAAUGCCUAUUACAGCAGGGGAUCAAUAUACUAUUGCUAUUAUUAUUAUUAUUACUAUUAUUAUUAUUAUUAUUAUUGCUGAGCAGUAUAGUGUGGUGGCUAAAAGCAUGGAUCUUGGAGUCAUACUGCUCCUUCUGGUCUGAGGUUCAGACUCUGCAUUUAGCAUCUGUUUGGCCAUAAGUAAAUUAGCUAAACUCUGUAAGCUUCAAAUUUCCUCAAUCAUAACAUAGGGAUGACAGCAGUGCCUCUCUCUUACGGUUGCCAAGAGGACCAACUGAGACUAUAUAUGUAAAGUGCUUAAUGUAGAACUGAGAUCUAAAUCACUGCUUAAAUGAGAUUUUAUACAUAAAGUGCUUAACACAGAGCCUGACAUGUAAUAAGUAGCUGCUCUAUGUAACAGCAUUCAAAAACUCAAACCCAACUACACUGAAGUGGUUUCUGCCAUUUCAGAUGAAUUUAGCAGUACCUCUUCUGAGAGGUGGAGGGAGGAAUGGAACAUAUCCCCAUAAAAAUGCAUUCAUUUAAAGUUGAACAGGGUAGAUGAAGAACACAAUAUAGGCCUAAAAUACUGCCCAAUCUGUUGUCAUAGCCUUUGGUUUGUUUUAUAAGUACACAUUAGCACUAAAGGGUUUGUAAUACUAUAUACUUGAAUAAGGAUGUGUUAAGGAGAUCAGCAUUUUUUUAAUUUCAAGAAGCUGAAUCUGGGUUCAAGUAAGAAAUGUCUCAUUUUUAAAACCAAAGCACCAUAUUUAUGCACAUGUUUUUGUCUUUUUUCCUGUUAUGUUACCAUUAAACAGUAAUGGAAAGGGAAUGUUCAUAUGCCACCUGAAUCCUGGUG
Long non-coding RNA from Artibeus jamaicensis (Jamaican fruit-eating bat), 2741 nucleotides. RefSeq lists it as uncharacterized. Lineage: Eukaryota; Metazoa; Chordata; Mammalia; Chiroptera; Phyllostomidae. The transcript is spliced from 4 exons. The record is from RefSeq and is a predicted model, not a curated record.